CCCCUUGACCUUCUUCUUACGCAGCCUCCUAGCCAUCUGUCUAUCCAGCAAAAAAUUGUCGUAUAUGCUCCUCCCUUGAUGAAAGCUGACUGAUUUACAUUGACGAGCUCCGGCAUCCGUCUGCUAAGCCUCGACGCCAAUAACUUCGAUGCAAUUUUUGGAGCACUGUGAAGCAGGCAUAUGGGGUUCUCGCUUCGGGAUGGAUGAACCCCCACUCGCCCAGGCUGACACGUGCAGCGGGAAAUUGCUAGAGGCGGCCACGCCUUGCUGCGAAGCGGACCGAACCGAAGAAAAAAAGAGACUAAUCUAAUCCCCAAUCCCACGCCGCCGCCGCCGCCGCCGCCGCUCCUCCCACCCACCUUCAAGGAAGCGACGACGGCCGCUGCGGAGAACGAGAAGCACGACGAGCCUCCUCUUCUCUUCUCUCUUUCUCUCUCCCUCCCUCCUCUCCCGCUCCAAUCCUCCCCUCCCUCUGCCCCCAUCGCCGCCGCUCCACCACCCAAGCCACCGACGAGCCCCACCCACCCAGGGCACGGCCCUUUCACCCACCGACGCCGCCCGCCACUCACCGUCUCUCACUCUCCAGCCGGGACGCCACAGAUCGAUUCGGAGCAGGCCAGGCGGCGCCAUGGCCGCGUCCGGACUUCCGGACGCGCGCCGUCGUCGAGCUGGGCUCCGCCGGGAGAGGAGGACCGAGGGGGCGGCCACUGGGUGCUUCUUCUCUCGGGACGCCGCUCUUCGGCUGCUCUUACCGACCCUGCUGGUGCCGCGAAAUGGAGCUUCCGCUGCUACUCUUCUCCCUGCCUCCCUGUCUCUGUUCGAUUCAACCGCGGUUCGCUGAUGGGGGACUCUUCUUCAACUCCCCACCUGCCCCUCAGGUGGAGCUGCAGAGGUCCAUCAGGCAGGAGGUCUCUGUCUCCGUUCAAGGGGCAGCUAGUAGAUGGAUGAUGUAUGACGUAUGAUGUAUGAUGAUGGGUUGGAAUGGGAGCUGGUGACGAAAGGAACCUGCUGCAACAACCACAUCGACUCCCUUCUCUACAGCAGACGCACCACAUUGACGACGCCGAGGAGGACGUGGACAUGCGCAAUCCUACGCCCGAGCUCGAGGAGGACAUUGUCGAGUCCAGCCCGACCACGCCGAUGCACCGCACAAGUACCAUGAAUUUGUCGCCAGGAUGCAAGCAGGAUCGCCACCCCCUCCCUAGCCGCCAGUACUGUGAGAUGCAGCAGCUGGUCGUGUAGGUUUGGCUCAGUCUCAUCUCCGUCUAGCUCUCCACCGUCAACGUGCUGGCAACAUUAAAGAUUCUUGCUGUAGUUCCGCGAGUUUGUCGUGAGGAUACAAGCAGGAUCACCACCCAUCCUAGCCGCCAGUACUAUGAGAUGCAGCAGUUGGCCGUGUAGGUUCGGCUCGGUCUCAUCUUUGUCCGGCUCUCCACCGUCACCGUGCUGGCAACGACAUGGUUUGGCUUCGGCUUAAAACAUUAAAGCUGUGGGAGAGCUAGUGGUUGGUGAUAGGCAGUUGUACCAAUACUUGGUUGGGAGCAUCCGUCGGUUUCCAAAACAGGAAAAGUUUGCUAGAUGAUAUGGAAACGCUGCCAUAUUAUUUUAUUGGGUUGGUGGCCAAGGUCCAUGGUGUGUCAGCGGUUGUAGGUCCUGCCGCAUCUCAUCACCGUCAACGGCGUGGUUCGGCCUCAGCUACAUACAUUGAAGAAUGCGGCUGAGUCCAAGGACAUGGUGGUAAACUGUGUGGCGUGUACAGGGGGAGUACAUCACUAGCGAGUCGCGCGCCUCCCGCCUUGCCCCUUCGGUGGUCGAUUCUUAUUUCUUUCUGUAGAAGAACUCUCUUGAGGAAUAAUGGCAGCAAGCUCACAAGCACGGUAAUGGCAGAUUUCCGCCUCCUUGGGUGAUUGUUGCUAUUGCAGUUCUUGGUUUUGAUAAGAUCAUGAUGCUUCUGAGGUGUUCCCAACUGCCGCUGACAACAAGACGCAAGUGGGUAUCCGUGUGUUGUAAGGUGAGUGUGAGAUGGCAACGGACAGCAAGCUCCUGGGCGAGUUCAACCAAGUUGGCAUACUGCCAGCACAAAGGUGUGCACUACAGAUCAAGAUGGCCGCCGCCGCCUAAGACCAAGAGUUUAUUAUCUAUGGAAGAAGCCUCCAGAUCGCUGGCUAAAUUGUAAACGUUUUUGUUUUUGCUCCAUCCAUGGAUGAAGUCAAGCUCUUCAAAAUCUUUUUUUCCCAUGACUCCUGCCUUUCUGCAGAAGUCUUUGUGUUCAGAAUUACUAUGCAUCUGUCUUGUUUUUGAUGUAUUCCUUAUUUUAUCUUUCUCAUUAUCCAGGAUUUUUGGCAGGAACUAAUCUUGAUUUAUGAGCAGGUUGGUCCUAGUUCACAUGAGCUGUUGAAUGCUCGGUUUCGGUGCCUGUGGGCCUCCCGCCGUGCGACGGGCCGGCUACAACUGUUCCGGUUUCCAAAAAUACAUUUUCUGGGGAGAUUGUGAAAGCCAAAAUUCUGAAGAUAUGUGAUGUUCGUGCAAAACAUUACCCUUUUCGUGAAGACCUUGCUAAACAAAUGCAUCCUGUUGAGGAGGUCAGCAUUUGGAAAUAUGCCAUUUGCCGUCGUUCUAUGUUGAAAUUCUUUCUCGUUGCUUAGUAUUGCAUAUUUCUACUUUGGCUUAAAUAGUUAAACCCAAGAACCUUACGAGGUAGCACUUGUAAGGAGGAGGUUAGCAGUUGAGAAAUAGUUCUGUGCAGGAUAUACCAUAACUUGUAUAACCUCCUGUGCUAGAUUUCCAGCAUAUAUGUUACCUUUUCUCCAUCCCAAGGUAUCAUACCUCUGUUACUUUUUCAUGUGGCCAUUAACUACAGGGGUAUAAAAAUGUUUUACAUAACUUGUGAGAAGAGCUGGUGAUGAUCAUAACCAAAAUGCUUUAGCUGCUUCUGAAUC
This is a long non-coding RNA of Triticum dicoccoides, 2939 nucleotides long. RefSeq lists it as uncharacterized. Lineage: Eukaryota; Viridiplantae; Streptophyta; Magnoliopsida; Poales; Poaceae. The transcript is spliced from 12 exons. The record is from RefSeq and is a predicted model, not a curated record.